Molecule: ribosomal RNA, 482 nt
Filed under: uncultured bacterium
Lineage: Bacteria
Description: bacterial SSU rRNA
Rfam family: Bacterial small subunit ribosomal RNA
Source: RNAcentral
UUGAACGCUGGCGGAAUGCUUUACACAUGCAAGUCGAACGGCAGCACGGGGGCAACCCUGGUGGCGAGUGGCGAACGGGUGAGUAAUGUAUUGGAACGUACCCCGUCGUGGGGGAUAACUCUCCGAAAGGAGAGCUAAUACCGCAUACGACCUGAGGGGGAAAGCGGGGGACCUUCGGGCCUCGCGCGAUUGGAGCGGCUGAUGUCGGAUUAGCUGGUUGGUGGGGUAAAGGCCUACCAAGGCGACGAUCCGUAGCUGGUCUGAGAGGAUGAUCAGCCACACUGGGACUGAGACACGGCCCAGACUCCUACGGGAGGCAGCAGUGGGGAAUUUUGGACAAUGGGCGCAAGCCUGAUCCAGCCAUGCCGCGUGAGUGAAGAAGGCCUUCGGGUUGUAAAGCUCUUUCAGACGGAAAGAAAUCGGGCGCGCGAAUAGCGUGCCUGGAUGACGGUACUGUCAGAAGAAGCACCGGCUAACUACGU